RNAcentral lists this ribosomal RNA (514 nucleotides) under uncultured bacterium. RNAcentral describes it as "bacterial SSU rRNA". It matches the Rfam family "Bacterial small subunit ribosomal RNA", at positions 28 to 545 of the family's 1533-position model. The record is from RNAcentral.
GACGAACGCUGGCGGCGUGCCUAACACAUGCAAGUCGAACGGGACCGGGGGCAACUCCGGUUCAGUGGCGGACGGGUGCGUAACACGUGAGGAACAUGACCUUCGGCGGGGGAUAGCCGGCCCAACGGCCGGGUAAUACCGCGUACGACCAUUCGGGGACAUCCCUGGAUGGUGAAAGCAGCAAUGCGCCGAUGGAGUGCCUCGCGGCCUAUCAGCUAGUUGGUGGGGUAACGGCCUACCAAGGCGACGACGGGUAGCUGGUCUGAGAGGAUGGCCAGCCACAUUGGGACUGAGACACGGCCCAGACUCCUACGGGAGGCAGCAGUGGGGAAUAUUGCGCAAUGGACGAAAGUCUGACGCAGCGACGCCGCGUGUGGGAUGACGGUCUUCGGAUUGUAAACCACUGUCGGGAGGGACGAAUACGCCGCAAGGCGGGUGACGGUACCUCCAAAGGAAGCACCGGCUAACUCCGUGCCAGCAGCCGCGGUAAUACGGAGGGUGCGAGCGUGUCGGA